UUCAGUUAUGGACUUGUAGUUGUUAAAGUACGUGGUUAAGACGGAGGCAAGGUGUGCCUAUUGUAACUUGUACUUGUAGUAAGUUAAUGUGAGUUUAAUACACUGGUGAUCGAUCCAACUGCGUUUCCUUACCCAACAUCACACUAGGUAUCAACCACCACCUACACCGAU
This is a long non-coding RNA of Aricia agestis (brown argus), 171 nucleotides long. RefSeq lists it as uncharacterized. The transcript is spliced from 3 exons. The record is from RefSeq and is a predicted model, not a curated record. NCBI's taxonomy places the organism in Eukaryota, Metazoa, Arthropoda, Insecta, Lepidoptera, Lycaenidae.